RNAcentral lists this ribosomal RNA (177 nucleotides) under Capronia epimyces. Its description in RNAcentral is "partial small subunit ribosomal RNA". Lineage: Eukaryota; Fungi; Ascomycota; Eurotiomycetes; Chaetothyriales; Herpotrichiellaceae. The record is from RNAcentral.
CUCCGUCGUGUCCAGGCCAACAUCGGUUCUGGGGGUCGGUUAAAGGCUCGGGGAAUGUAUCUACCCUCCGGGCGUAGACUUAUAGCCCCGAGUGUCAUGCGGCCUCCCGGGACCGAGGAACGCGCUUCGGCUCGGAUGUUGGCGUAAUGGUUGUCAGCGACCCGUCUUGAAACACGG